RNAcentral lists this ribosomal RNA (428 nucleotides) under uncultured Sphingobacteriales bacterium. Its description in RNAcentral is "bacterial SSU rRNA". It matches the Rfam family "Bacterial small subunit ribosomal RNA", at positions 954 to 1382 of the family's 1533-position model. Lineage: Bacteria; Pseudomonadati; Bacteroidota; Sphingobacteriia; Sphingobacteriales. The record is from RNAcentral.
AUGAUACGCGAGGAACCGUUACCUGGGCUCAAAUGUAUGUUGACGUAUUCUGAAAGGGAUACUUCUUCGGACAAUAUACAAGGUGCUGCAUGGUUGUCGUCAGCUCGUGCCGUGAGGUGUCGGGUUAAGUCCCAUAACGAGCGCAACCCCCUAUCAUUAGUUGCCAUCAGGUCAAGCUGGGGACUCUAAUGAAACUGCCUACGCAAGUAGUGAGGAAGGUGGGGAUGACGUCAAAUCAGCACGGCCCUUACGUCCAGGGCUACACACGUGCUACAAUGGCCGGUACAAAGGGCAGCUACCUGGUGACAGGAUGCUAAUCUCAAAAGCCGGUCUCAGUUCGGAUCGGAGUCUGCAACCCGACUCCGUGAAGCUGGAAUCGCCAGUAAUCGCGCAUCAGCCAUGGCGCGGUGAAUACGUUCCCGGGCCUU